CCCCUUGAAACAGAAUAUAAGGGAGAGUAUACCAGCUAAGGGGGAGGCUGCUGGAGAGAAGGGAGAGCUGAGAGAAGAGAAGAGAGACUGUUUGCUGCUGAGUGUUGUAUCUCUCUUGAACCAGGGUGUGUUGAGCUCCAUAUGCCUGAAUGUCAACUUGCAGUUGUGGAAGUACCUUAACAACUUUAAUGCACAAUUUCAUCUUCAUAGCAGUAUGAAGUAUGGCAGAGAGAGGUGGGAAUAAACCGCGCCUGUGCCCCUGCUCUUCCUGUAUAGGCCACCACUGCUUCAUAACACCCCUGUGAGGAGGAAGAGGAGAGUGGCAAUCAGAGAACCAACUGCAGUGGCCGUAGUGGUAGGUUGCCAGGUCAAAAGAUCUUGUGCCUCUCAAAGUGGCACAGGGAGGAAAGUUCCACCAAAUGCUGUUUCCACCAUUGAUUGCAAGACAGGAUUCGGAGAGGCCAUACCCAGCAACUUUUAGCCUUCUUUGCCACUCUUAAAGAUACAGGGACUGGAGCUGGAAACCCUGUUCCCCACCCCAUUUGGGAGGAUUCAGAUUGCCUCUUUUGCUCCCUUUCCCUUACAGCUCUGUCAAUUAGAGAGCUACAACCAAAUAAGCUAUUUUAGCUACAUGACGCCUUCUUUGAUUAUUUUUUUUUCAGGAAAGCUUUAAUUUCAACAACAUGUUGGAACUCAGUGAUGAAAGGGUCCAGGUUCACUAAUCACUGUUCACCAUGUUGGCUUUGAUCUCUUCAAGAUCUCUUCCCUCUGUUCAUUAUAAUCUUCCAGAACUGACAUCUCCGAGGGGCCUGCAGGUGUCCAUUCAUCAAUGAGCUCAAAGUACAGUAUGCAACAUAGGGACUGAUUGUACUCAUUAGUUCUAGCUCACUGUAAAGGAAGGGAUGGGAAAAGAGAAAUCCCACAGAGGCAUUUGAUUUUACCUCCACAGCGCCUGAACUCUUUGUGCCUGUCCAUCUGGUGCUCCAUCUCUUUGCCAGCAUAAACAUUUUGUUCACAGAAGUUAUUCCUUUAAUCUUGCUAAUAGUGUACUCAUGCCAUGUCCACGCCCUAUUGUAGUAAUUAGUUGACUGUUGUCAUGGCGACAACUGCAGGUUUGUGGCCUGCUGGCAAUCCAGUCCUCUCCCAGCGUCGCCUCAUUGCCAUUUGCCACUUGAGGCAUUGUACUACCACCUCAAGUGGCAAACUGCACUUUAUUGCAACAAGCUCCCCUGCCCUCUUACAGCCCCACCCCCAGGCAGGGAUCAGUGCUGACAAAGCCCCGCCCCCAGCUCCACAUAGGAACACAGGAAGUUGCCUUAUACCAGGCCUGCUCAACUUAGGCCCCCGCCCCAGCUGUUUUUGGACUACAACUCCCAAAAUCCCCAUCCACAGUGGCCAAUAGCCAGGGAUUAUGGGAAUUAUAGGCCAACAUCUGCAGGAGGGCCAAAGUUGAGCAGCCCUGCCUUAUACCAAGUCAGAAAAUUGGUCUAUCUAGCUCAGUAUUGUCUACACUAACUGGCAGCAGCUUCUCCAAGCCAGCAGCUCCUUCAGCCUCAGAGGAAAAAUGCCUCUAAAUAGCAGUUGCAGGGGAGCAACAGCAAGAGAGAGGGCAUGCCCUCGGCUCUUGCCUUUGGGCUUUUCAGGGGCAUCUGGUGGGCCACUGUGGGAAUCAAGAUUCUGGACUAAAUAAGUCUUGGGUCUGAUCCAGCAGGCCUGUUCUUAUGUACUUAUGUUCUUAAGGCUUCAGGUAGGAGUCUUUCACAGCCCUGCCUGGAGAUGCCAGGGAUUGAACCUGGGGGGGCUAUUCAUCCCUCAGGGACAUAUCUGGGGAUGAUCAGAGGACUUCCAGGGUCAGGGGAGGUAAUUGAAAUCCAACCCUGCUCUGUUGUGAGCAAAGGCGUAUCUAGGGAAAACAGCGCCUAGGGCAAGCACUGAAAUUGCACCCUCCACCCCCCCAAAUAUCUGGCACCCAUCUUUCAGAUAACUUCACCAUAUCAGCUCAAAAAUAAAAGUCAAGCUUGUUAAUCUUUUAAUUAACAAAUUAUGGCACUAACUGAAAAUUAUAACUGCACCUUACUUGCUUUCACUGAUGCAAAAUGCUGAGGCAGCACAGAUAUAGCCUUCUUCAGAAAGCAGGAAUCACACCUAUCAGCUAUUCUGGAGACUGGAUGUAGUCCUUACAUUCCCUGAUCAGCAUGUUUAUUACAUUCCAAAUCCAUCAGUGUGUAUUAGCAACCCCCUGCCCGCCCCCCCAGCUGCUAUCUGCCAGCAAGCAGCAACAUUCACAUUUUUUAUAUCCCACUCUUCCUCCAAGGAGCCCAGAGCAGUGUACAUAAGUUUCUCCUCACAGCAACCCUGUGGAGUAGGUUAAGCUGAGAGAGAAGUGACUGGCCCAGAGGCACCCAGCAAGUCUCAUGGCUGAAUGGGGAUUUGAACUAGGGUCUCUCUGGUCCUAGUCCAGCACGCUAACCACUAUCAAGGCAGUGUGUGCACACCUGCAUUCGGAGUGGGGCCUUACAGCCUCAGUGCCUCCUCCAAAACACAAGUCAGCCUACAUGCACAUACAGCUACAACAUGCAAUAAAAACAAACAAAAAACUUGAGCAGGCAGGGCUAUUGCUGAGGAAUCUCAAGGUUAGGGCAAGGAAGAGAGAGAAACUAAAAAAUUAAUUCUUAAGGGGUAUACUUAUGAACAAUUCUGGAAUGUUAAUCAAACUGUUCCCUCCUUUCCCCUUCCAAUACAUCAGAGCAAACAGCAUAGGAAGAGAGAUUUUGUUUAUCCAUGUGCCCAUUUUUAAAAUUUAUAUUUACACUUAUAUCCCUCUCUUCUUCCAAGGAGCUCAGAGUGGUAUACAUGGGUUUUUUUAUCCUCACAACAGCCCUGUGAGGUAGGUUAGGCUGAGAGAUACAUGACUGGCCCAAAGACAAACAGUGAGAUUCAUGGUUGAAUGAGGAUUCAAACUCAGGUCUUCCCGAUCCUAGUCCAACACUCUAACCACUACACUAUGCUGGCUCUCAGGAAAAGUCACAAAGAAAUCCAUCAAUUACACUUGUAUUCAUCUGCCUCAUAGAAGCGGUCUCUGCAGAUUAAGCUUUUUAAGGUUUCUUUUGGUGACUGCAUUGUUUAUGCACAUUAAUACAAGUCUAUUUCUACAUUUGUGUGCAUGCCUGGCAGUAAAUGAAAAACCUAUUGUAAGUUCUAGAAAGUGUCUUCAACUUUCAGAUGUAAAACAAUCUUUUUCACUUACAUUUACAAUUACAAGCCUUUUUCAAUUACACAUGAUUUACUGCACAUUUUAAUAGUCAACUCUUUUAAAAGAUAAGACUUAAAUCACAAAAUCAAUUUUUAACAAACUGGUGCUGCUGGAAGGGCAAGCCAGCACAGCUAAGUACCUACUCUCCUCUCCUCCCCUCCCCUCUAACCCCCUCUAACAACAGAGCACAGAGAAAAGUCCACCCAAAGAAAGGAAGGUGGGAUUUGAGCGGGAUGGGGAGAGGGAUUGCCUGCAGAAUGUUGCUUACUGAAUAAGGACCACACCUUUGAGUGAAGAGCUACUUUCACACAGCAAGCCUGCUUUGA
Molecule: long non-coding RNA, 3579 nt
Organism: Hemicordylus capensis (graceful crag lizard)
Lineage: Eukaryota; Metazoa; Chordata; Lepidosauria; Squamata; Cordylidae
Exons: 5
Source: RefSeq, a predicted model, not a curated record